GGCACAGAGCUCCUCAUUAGCCAAAUUCGCCCAAGUUCCCCAACCUUUAAGGAUUUCCUCAUAAUAAUGCAAGAAGAAGAGAAAAGUGAGUGUCCAUAGAAGCUUUGGGGCUCUUCCUCUAAUCAGGAGAAAGCUGCAGAAGGUCAUCAACUAACCUCUUGGCACCUAGCACCACAUGAAGACGCUCAAGCUAGACUUUAAAAUGAGAGACCCAGAGGAGAGACAGAAGCUCCACUAAAUCCAGAGAACACCUAGACUGAUUGAAAACAGAGGAAGCAAGGACAGCAAAGGGCGCUGCAGAGGCCAAGAGGGAAGGUUUUAGAAUGUUUCCCAAAGCAUGUCUGUUGGAAUGGUGGUCCCAUGAGAUACUCCUCUAAAAAAAGAAGGAGGUAAAAGAAUUAUUUGGCCAAAUCUUCUUUGAAAUCCUCUCCCUUUUAGAUUCAUCCUAAUAUUGGCAUAGUAAUGCCUCUUUAAAGAACUACAAUAAAGAAGCCUGUUUAUCUUUGCUU
RNAcentral lists this long non-coding RNA (509 nucleotides) under Pongo abelii (Sumatran orangutan). RNAcentral's name for it is "lincRNA". Lineage: Eukaryota; Metazoa; Chordata; Mammalia; Primates; Hominidae. The record is from RNAcentral.